UCGUCUUUAGUCUUUGUUUUGUUUCUCAGUUGUAACCGACGUCUUCAGGCUACUCUUAUUCGUACGACUGGAAGAGUGGUGAUCAUGUUUUGGCAUUUAACCUGCAUUCAUAGAGAUUGAAUUAGCACAAUUAUCGCUCAAUGAGAAGGAAGAAGAAAUCUUGCAGAUCCAGGUAGAUCCGAGUACGCAAAGAGAAGUGGGGGAAUUUUAGCUUGUGGGAUGUUUCCUAACAGCCAGUAUAAUUCACUAUCCAGCCAUGAAAAGCACUAUGGUAAACCUGUGGCAUCCUGUCUGUGGGGUCCAAAUUUGAGAUUUGGGGGAAAAAUGUACCUUUUUCAGUUUUUUCAUAAUAUGGAUAUAGAGAGAGUUUUGAAAGGUUCACCAUGGACUUUCAAUAAUCAUUUUUUAAUACUUUACAAACUGGAAAGGGGAGAGGAUCCACUUAAAGUACCACUAAUUUUUAUCCCUUUUUGGGUAAAAAUUCAUGACGUCCCAAUAGGGUUAUUUUCUAAAAAUCUAGCAAUACAACUGGGCAAUUUUAUAGGAGCUUUCUUGGAAUAUGAUGGUUCAAAUUUGGGGAAGGAAAAUCGUAAUUACAUGAUGGUAAGGGUACAAAUUGACGUUAGAAAGCCCUUGAAAAGAAAGAAGCAAGUUAUGUGUUGCGAGGUUCGUUCAUAUGUUAAAUUUAAGUAUGAACGUCUAUCGCUUUUCUAUUUCUACUGUGGACGUUUGGGGCAUAAUGACUCUUUUUGUGAGAUAAAAAUGAUGUUAGGGGUGGAUAUUGUAGAAAUGGGUUGGGAUUUAUCAUUGCGAGCACAAUCUCGAAGAGCCCUUUCAAUGAAUGGUAUCUGGCUACGAGAAAAGGGUGAAGGAAAAUGUGAAGUAAGUAGGAUGGAUAAUAGGUUUGUGGGGCUUAGUUCAAGGAAUGGGGACAUGAAAGAAAGAAGGGGAAAAGCCAUUGAUCCAACUCUGGGUUUUAACAUAGAAGGAGGGGUGUCAUCUAUAGAACAACAGAAGGAUAAUUUUUGGUCCAAUCAGAUGCAAAUGGCUAUGGAGCAUGAUUUGGAAGACGAAACCUUAAUAGGGGAGGAAGGGAAAAAGCAAAAUAGGGGGAGAUGGAAGAACUAACAGAAAAUGAAUAGAGUGGUAAUGUAAUAACAAGAAAUAGGAAAAUGGUGGAAUUUAAACUUUUAUCAUCAGUGGCUGCCAAGAGGCAAGCCGACCGGGCGUAAUAAAAAUCAUUAGUUGGAAAGUCCGUGGUUUAGGGAGACAACGAACGGUUAAAAGACUUUGACAUUUGCUGAAGAUACAUAAUCCCCAAAUAGUCUUCUUUAUGGAGACAAAACUUAGUAGAAAAUAGAUGGAACAAGCUAGUAGAAGAUGUGGUUAUGCGAAUGGUAUUGAAGGUGACUCAGAAGGUAUGAGAGGAGGAUUGUGUCUAGCAUGGAGGACUGAUGUUGAUAUAAUGUUUCGUAUUUUUUCCUAAAAGACACAUUGAUGUGAUUGUUGAAGAUAAGGAAAAAGGAAUCAAUUAGAUAUUCACAAGAUUCUAUAGAUCUCCAUAUGCACAGGAUAAAAAUGAUUCAUAGGUUGUUUUGAAAAGCUUAGCUACUGAUGUGGAAACUUCUUGGUUUGUUUGUGGAGACUUCAACGAAAUUAUGUAUGGAUUCAAAAAAAAAAGGCUACUUAGAGAUGAAAGAAUGAUGGAACUUUUUCGAAGAACACUAGAGGAAUGUCAACUAAAUGACGUGGGCUUUGAUGGUAGCUGGUUCACUUGAGAGAGAGGAAAUUUACCUGAGACGAACAUACAAGAACGACUAGACAGAGGUGUCGCUAACACAGAUUGGAUUAAUAUGUUUCCGGAGGUGAAAGUCCAACAUCUAGUGCAUUCGUUUUCAGACUGUUGCCCUCUUCUUAUUAAUACAAGGAGAUAUGAAGAACGAUUGAGGAACAAUAAUUUUAAAUUUGAAGCUUGGUGGUCCUUUGAGGAGUCUUUCAUUAUUGAAGUCAAGAGUUUGUGCGAGAAAUCUUCAGGGGAGCUGUUACAAAAGCUAGAAGACUUGAAAGAAGGCUUGAAGAAGUGGGGUGGGCAAAUUCAAAUAAAUAGGAAAAAAACAAGACAGAUCCUAACGGAAAAACUUAUAGAGUUGGCUGAAGCUGAAAGAGAUGACAAUAACUUAGCUGAGUUGACUGGUACAAAAAUUAAUUUGAAUUUUGAUAUCGAAAAAGAUGAAUGUUACUGGAAACAAAAGGCUAGAAUAAACUGGUUUUGAGGAGAAAAAUACAGCAUUUUUUCACAGUCAAGCAUCACAGAGGCGGAGGAAGAAUAUCAUUCACAAGCUAGAAAAUGAAGACAGAAGAGAGAUGGUGACCCUGUAUGUAACAGCCCAAUUUUGGGUCUAGUCGGAACAGUGGUUUUGGGACCACGAAUCCGACAAGAAAAAACGUAAUGGCCUGAAUUUUCAAAGGUGUCAGAACGGAAAUUCGAGAUCACUAAAUUCGACAAAUGGGUAGAAAAUAUUAUUAAUUUAGUGAGUAUAAGUUAAAUUUGAAGUUAGGAAAAUUUUUGAAAUAGUAAAUAGUGCACUAGAAAUAAAUAUUAAAAUAAUUAAAAUCGAAAAUGAGGUAUUGAGACCUCGGGGAUUUUAAACCGAGCCAUAAAUAUUUUUAUAAAUAUUUAUGGAGUGUUAAAAAGUUAGUAUUAAAGUUUCGUUAAGAAAUUUUAAAGUUCCGAUAAUUAAUUGAACAAAAAGAACUAAAUUGUAACAAAUGCAAAAUUAUGGGAAAUGAUUAAAUAGCUUAAAAGAUAAAAGGAAGAGGGCUUAAAAGGCAAAUAGACCCAAGGUCUAUUUGGGCUGGACGGCAAAGGCAUGAAAUCAGCAACAAAGUAAGGAGAAUUAAGGGCAAAAUUGGAAUAUUGCAAAAUUUACUUAAUAAAGUUAGGACCAAAGUGGAAUUAUCUAGAUUUCUCUUUAUUUUUCUGCAUUCUCAUCAGCUAAAACACCAUAGAAGGGUUUCCUUAAGCUGUUUCUUCAUAUUUUUACUACAAGUAAGUUCAAUUCUUGAUUAUUUCUUGAAAUUUUUGUGUUUUUGUGACUUUUACAACUAGUCCCACUUGUUGUAUUCAUUAGUUUUUGAUUCUAUGAAAAAAAUUGAAAGUUGUUAUGAAUACAUGCUGGAAGUAUAUGAUGAUUUAGCAUGGAAUUAGAGCUUUAAAUUGUUCAUAUGCUGAUUUUAUUGAAAGAAUUGAAUAGAAAGUGAAUGUUUGGGACCUAAUAGUAAAAGAGUUUGAAGUUAGGGUUUUAUGUGGAAAUUCUAAAUUUCAAUAGUUGUGAAAUAAUUUAUAAUGUCUAAGUAAUGUACUAAUUGAGAAAAUUUAGCUUAAUUGAAGGAUUAAUUGAGCAAUGACUGAAUUGUAUGAACUGUGAAAUUUGGGGCAAAAUGGAAAUCAACAUUUUGCACUAAAACAGUUUUGGACAGCAGUGGUUUAACUUUGAAAAAUCACCAAAAAUUAUGGGAAUUAAAUUAUAGGGUGAAUAAAAUAUGAAAUUAAAUCUUAUUGAGUCUAGUUUCUCAUAAAAGAAAUUGCGUAAGUAAUGGAAUUGAAAAUUAUGAGAUAUAAUAAAUUUUGUGAGACCAUGUCAGAAUGAUUUCGGGUUCCCCUGUUCUAACUUUGGAAAAUCAUCAAAAAUUGAAGAAAAAUAAUUAUGAGUUAUAAUUUAUAUUCUUAGAAUCCUUAAUAAGUCUAUUUUCAAAUUAAAUAAACAAAAACAUCAUCUAAAUUCUGUACAAUUAGAUAAUUCAUUUUUAGUGAAGAGUGGUCAGAACUGUCAGACAACAAAAUAGGGGGACUUUAAAGAAUAAACUGUACUAUUUUGCUGAACCAAAAAUUCUGAAAAUUUUAUGGUAAGAAUAUAUGUGAGUUUAGUUUCAGGUAAAAUUAACGGAUCUUAAUUUGAAGCUCUGUAGCUCUAGAUAAAAAUAAUUUAGUGACUCUAACUCGGAUAAAUAGCUUUAAAUAUACAUGUGAGUGAAUAGUGAAAUUAGAGCUAAUGUUGUUUAAGUGUGUUAUACACAUUAAGAAUGUGGAAUGGAGAGGAGGAGAAGGAAAAUUGAGAAAUAUAUGAAUGAUUUGUGUAUAAUUGGUCAUAAGCUUGAUUAUAAUUGAUAAACGAUGAAAUAAAAAUGAUGUUUAUAUUUGUGCAUUAUUGGUCAUGGUUUAAACUCAUGUGUGAAAAUAAAGUUUCAUAGUAUGUGUGUAUGGUAUAUUCGGUAUAUGAUUGUGCAUGAAAUAAUGUCAUUAAUGGGUUAUGAAUUAACACACGUUGGUAAGCGUAAUACAUGAAUAAAUGUUGUGCUCAUCCAUAUUUAUAAUGCUUAUGCUAUAUGUGUAUUUGGCUAACAUAUUUGGUGUCCAUGCUUAGGCUUUGGCCAAAUAGUGGCUAGAUUAUGCCACAAUAAAUUUAUAAGUUAUGCAUUGAAAUAAUAAAUUCAUAUGGCUAAAAUUUAACAAUUAAAUGUUAAUUUCAUAAAUUAUAUAGUGUAUGAUGAUAUAUAUUUGUUAAUGGAUUGAAAAUAAAAUAAAAAUGCGAAAACCAAAUAAAUGAUCAAAUUGAACGGAACGUCAGAUUUGAGUACUUCUGAUCAAUGAUAAGUGAUAAAUGGUACCUUUAGCUACACUUAUCUGAUCAGUGACAAGUGGCAAGUGAUAAGUGAUAACUUAGCUACACUUAUCUGAUCAAGGACAAGUGAUAAGUGAUCAUACGUAAGGCCAUAGUUAUACUAUGGCAAAGUGAAAGUGAAGUACUCAAUUUUCCGUAACCAUUCCCUAAUUUGAUUAAGGAUGGUAAAUGACAAAUGGACCCAAAAGAAUUAAAAUAAAUGGAUAAGUGGUAAUGUAUUUAUAGUAGGAUGAUAUUGUUAUUUAAACUAACGUGAUAUUUUCAUUGCAAAAUUAAAAAUUUCAUAAAUAUGUUAAUGAAUGAUAUAAUCGAUAAACGUUGAAUUAAAUGGUAAAUACAUAGUUUUAAACUUAAUUAGAUUGAAUUGUAUGUGAAUUAAAUAAAAAUUGCUAGUGAUAUGAUCUAAAUUGUGAGCAUGAGAAAUUGCGAAUUGAAUGAAAUGGAAAUGAAGCAUUGAAUUGCAUGAAUAUAUAUCGGGUCUCGUAGGCCCUAUUUAUUAAGAUUAUAAUAUUUAAAGGAUAUAUUGUGAAGAGUCAUAAAAACAUGUUAAUAAUUUUGAAAGUUUUAAUUUAGAUGAAAUUUUAUAACUCGGUUAAAUACGUUUACAAGUGUAUGUGUACUGGUAAUGCCUCGUGCCCUAUUCCGAUGUUGGAUAAGGGUAAGGGGUGUUACACUGUAAAAAUAGAAGGUGUUGCGCGGUCUUAUUUUCAAAGCUUGUUUUCGGCAAGAGGAAAGAAGAAUUAUGAAUAUAUACUAUCAGGGCUCGAGCAUUGUCUAUGCGGAAGACAACCAAAAACUUACAGCAACAUACAUUAAAGAUGAAACUGCAAAAGUAGUUUUCGACAUGGGACCCAUGAAGGCACCAAGAGAGAUGGAUUUCUAGCUCUAUUUUAUUAGGAAUGCUGGCAGAUUGUUGGAGAAGAAGUUGCCUCCUUUUGCUUACAAAUUCUAAACGAAGAUAUAGAGGUUAGUCCAAUUAACUCUACCAAUAUAGUACUUAUCCCAAAAGUUACUACCCUUCUAAUAUGAUGCGGUUUAGACCGAUUAGCCUAUGCAAUGUACUUCUAAAAUUCUAGCAAAGGCAAUAGCAAAUCGAUUUUGAGGAGUUAUUGGAAAAUGCAUUGAUGAGGCGUAAAGUGCCUUCGCACCAGGUCGAUUAAUAUCAUAUAAUGUGUUGUUAGCCUAUGAAAUAUUGCAUAAGUUAAAACAUAAGAGAUUGGGGAAAAAAGGGUAUAUGGCCAUUAAACUCGAUACAAGUAAAGCAUACAAUAGGGUUGAAUGGAAUUUUAUAAAGUAGAUAAUGAUAUGAAUGGGGUUUGAUCAAAGCUAGUUAAAUGCCAUUAUGAAAUGUGUUACCACUAUUUCUUAUUCAGUAGUCAUCAAUAGGCAUAACGAGUAUAAAUUUCUACCAGCUAGAGGACUUAGACAAGGUGAUACGCUGAGCCCGUUCUUAUUUCUUUUAUGUGGUGAGGGUCUAUCAAGCUUAUUGAGACUAGCAACCAAUGUAGGCUUCUUAAAAGGUGUUAGGGUUAAUGGAAAUGGCCCAUAGGUAACUCAUCUUUUAUUUCCUGAUGAUUGCAUAUUAUUCGGGGAGGCAACAAGCAAGGGUGCUAAUCUCUUCAAGGACAUUCUACGCAAGUAUAAAUCUUGCUCGGGACAAUGUGUUAACUUUGACAAAUCAACAAUAUUUUUUAGCAAGAACACGUUGGAGGAUAGGAGACUAGUUUUCAAUCUAUUGGGGGUACGUAGCUCGAACGAACCAGAGCGUUACUUAGGAUUACCUAAUAUGGUGGGUCAGAGAAAAAAGGAAUCUUUUCAAAACUUGAAGGACCGAUUCAAAAAACGUAUUGAUAAUUGAAAUAAUAAGUACUUAUUGCAGGGUGGAAAAGAAGUAUUUAUAAAGGCUAUUCUUCAGGCUAUACCAACUUAUACACUGGCUUAUUUUUUAUUACCUAAAGUUCUAUGUGAUGAAUUGGAAAGUAUCGUUGCGAGAUUCUAGUGGUAGAAGAGACGUGGAAAAAUGGGAAUUCAUUGGUGCACGUGGAAAAAUCUUUUUUCUUUAAAAGAAAAGGAUGGUUUAGGUUUUCGAAACCUUGGUCAAUUUAAUAUUGCGUUAUUAGCUAACCAAGGUUGGCGUCUUAUCAAUUAUCCAAAUUCUUUAUUAGCCAGAGUUUUAAAAGCAAAAUACUAUCUGCAAUCAAGUUUCCUAAAGGUAGAGCUGGGAAAUUUACCUUCACUUACCUGGAAGAGUAUCUGGGUAGCAAAGGGACUUCUCCAGAAAGAGAUGUGUUGGAGAGUGGGCAGGGGAGACAACAUUUCUAUCUGGGAAGACAGCUGGAUAUAGGGGAUCGAUACAAUUGAUGGACAAAACGAAUCAAACAAUGGGGAAUUAUAGUUAGUCUCGGAUCUUGUUGAUAAUACAAACAAGAUCCGAGACUGAGGUCGGAUUUGAUUAAUAGUACCUUUCAAGCAGAAAUUGCUCAAAAAUUUCUACAGAUCCCUCUUGCAGAGACUAAGCACGAGGAUACUCAAGUUUGGAAAGUAGUAUUAUCCGGUGCAUUUUCAAUGCGCAGUGCCUAUAAACUAUUACAAUAAGCUAUUUUGAAUCCUAAUAUUAUUUAUUACAGACCAAAACUAAAUAAUUUUACAGGAAAUUAUGGAGCCUACAACUACCCUAAAAAAUUGCAAUCACUAUUUGGCCAAUUUCCUGGGAUUAUAUCCCUAAUCUUGCUAAUCUCAAGUACAGGAAAGUCACUUCAAAUGAUAGAUGUCUCUGUGGUUGCUCCUGGGCAGAGGAAAGUCUUCAUGUCUUCCGAGAAUGCCUAAUAACAAGAGAAGUUUGGCAAUUUUUAAAUUUAUCCUGGGUUGUGAAUAAUAUGAAUCAAAGUCUAUGAGAGUGGCUAACCUGGGUUUUCAAGAGAAGUAACGGCGCUCAAUGCCGACUCUUCUGUUAUGCUCUAUGGUUGAUAUGGUUUUCCAGAAAUCAAUUCAUACAUGAGGGGAAAAAUAUAACAGGAAAGGUUUUAGCACAAAAUAUUCAAAGGCACAUGGCAAACUAUGAAGGAAUAAAAGUAAUGAAGAUUCAUGAUAAAAUGAACAGAAGCUACAGAAUCCAGGAGGACAUACCAAAAACAACGAUCCACUUUGACGCAGCGUUCGACAGUAGAAACUUCAAAUCAGCGACAGGCCUGGGGGGAUGAGAUCUAAGGGGAGAUCUACUGGUACUAAAGAAGGUUAUUCACAACAAUGUUCCCUCACCAUUUGCAGCAGAGGCAUAUGCAUGUUUAAAGGGUACAAGGUUAGGGAUCUCACUAAGAACUCAAUCAGUCAAACUCAUAGAGGACUCCAAAACAAUAAUAAAAAAAUGUCAAACGGCUUUAACAGAUAAAUCAGUGAUUGGAGCUAUUUUCAAAGACAUUCAGAAUAAGAAACCUUGUUUUCAAGAACUUAUCUUUCAACAUAUUCACAGAUCAGAGAACUCGCAUACACAUAGACUAGCAAAAGACGCUCUUGAUAGAGGAGAAACCGUUUACUUGAUGGGGAAGAGUUGAAUCGUCAUGUCUUCGCAAAAUAAAGUCUUAUCUCUUGGGAACUGCUAUCGUCAGAACGAAUGGUUUUUUAGAAUGACUAAUCGACAGAUAUAAUGGUAUCCAGCCGUUUUUGAAUUGACUGGUGUGGAUAUUUUUUUAUUUCCUUUUCUUUUCAUUUAUUGCUUUUUGUCUUUCC
Molecule: long non-coding RNA, 8408 nt
Filed under: Gossypium barbadense (sea-island cotton)
Lineage: Eukaryota; Viridiplantae; Streptophyta; Magnoliopsida; Malvales; Malvaceae
Description: long non-coding RNA (GBAR_LNC018145)
Source: RNAcentral